This 467-nucleotide ribosomal RNA is filed under the name uncultured bacterium. RNAcentral's name for it is "partial 16S ribosomal RNA". It matches the Rfam family "Bacterial small subunit ribosomal RNA", at positions 28 to 507 of the family's 1533-position model. The record is from RNAcentral.
GACGAACGCUGGCGGCGUGCUUAACACAUGCAAGUCGAACGGAAAGGCUCCAGCUUGCUGGAGUACUCGAGUGGCGAACGGGUGAGUAACACGUGGGUAAUCUGCCCUGCACUCUGGGAUAAGCCUGGGAAACUGGGUCUAAUACUGGAUAUGACCUUUCUCCUUAUGGGGUUUGGUGGAAAGUUUUUCGGUGUAGGAUGAGCCCGCGGCCUAUCAGCUUGUUGGUGGGGUGAUGGCCUACCAAGGCGACGACGGGUAGCCGGCCUGGGAGGGUGAUCGGCCACAUUGGGACUGAGAUACGGCCCAGACUCCUACGGGAGGCAGCAGUGGGGAAUAUUGCACAAUGGGCGGAAGCCUGAUGCAGCGACGCCGCGUGAGGGAUGACGGCCUUCGGGUUGUAAACCUCUUUCAGCAGGGACGAAGCGUAAGUGACGGUACCUGCAGAAGAAGCACCGGCUAACUACGUG